RNAcentral lists this long non-coding RNA (3810 nucleotides) under Homo sapiens (human). Lineage: Eukaryota; Metazoa; Chordata; Mammalia; Primates; Hominidae. The record is from RNAcentral.
CCACACCUCCCUGCAAGCUGAGGGAGUUGGCUCCGGCCUUGGCCAGCCCAGAAAGGGGCUCCCACAGUGCAGCGGUGGGCCGAAGGGCUCCUCAAGUGACGCCAAAGUGGGAGACCAAGCAGAGGAGGUGCCAAGAGCAAGCGAGGGGCUGUGAGGACUGCCAGCACGCUGUCACCUCUCACCGGGGCCGAGGAACAGGAGCACCGCAGACCUUCUGGUAACUCUCUGCCAUCGGAUUCCCGGGCAAGGGCACCUCUGAGCUCCCUGGCAGGCGAGCCAGGAGAAUGCAGCCAUUCCUGCUGCAGAAAUAUCUGCAUGAUUUGUCAUCUGCCUUCGGUCAGGCCAUCAGCACAGAAAUGCUUCAGAUGCACACAAUCAUGCAUACUUUUGCCCUCUCGCUCCACAAAGAUUACCAUGUGCCAGGCACGGACUUUCUCCCCAUGGAGUCGGACAAUCCUCCUGGGCAGGAGCAUCCAGGCUGUUUCCUGGUGCCCCUUCCCCCUCCAGCCCAGCUGUAGGCCUAGGGGAAGAAGGACACCUGGAGCUUCCAGGCCGACCUUAAGCUGCAUUUUGCAGUGUGGCCAGCAGGACGCAGCAUGGCCCCAGAUCGGGCAGCACUGAGGCUGCAGGCUAAGGAGGCCACCAGGCGGGCAGGGUGAAAGAGCAGGGCUGUGUGAGGUGGCCCCUGGUUACUCCUCUGUGCCCAUGCCCCACCCUCUAUGGGUUUAGGAACUGAAUAUCUGGGGGCCUCUCAGGGCUGAGCCAGGCUCCUGCUCUCAGUUCCUGCAGGCGCUCUCCACAUCCCUUCUCAUGGUCUUCAGUAAACACGAGGACAAGGACAGGAGGGAGGGGAAAGGGAGAGGGUGGGGCUGCUGCGGAAGCCCCUGCCAAGACCACAGACCUCAGGCAAGCUGCUUCCCUGGCAACUCCGCUGCCUGCCCUCCCUGGACCCCAGCACAGUCCCCGGAGUCACCUCUGCCCUCGACAGAGAACAAGUGCACUCUUGGUGACCUUGAACGUGAAGCCUGGUGAGGCUUUGGAGGAGAGGCCCACCUUGCCAGGGCCCUUGGUGUGGCUGAGUCUCUGCUUCCCUUGCCGUCUCAGCCUCUCCCUCCCUCUAGGGGGCUGGGGGUCGGGACAGCGCCUGUGGGGCUCUGGCCCAGCCAGUUGGGCCACAUCAAGCAGGGACCCAGACAAAAGUCAAGGGCAGUGAGUAGGGAGCUGGCACCGCAGAGAGUCCACUUCCCAGGCGCAGCCUUGGCCAUGAUGUUUGAGGACAGCUGCAGGGGCUGUUUGGUGCCCUCAUGUCCUUCUGAUGCUGCAGGUAGCGAUGGGGGCAGAGAGAAGAGGUGGGCUCCGAGCAGGAGUGAGCAAAGGUGGGGCUAGCCCCUGGCUCUGGUGAUGGCACCCUGGGGUGACUAGAAGGUGGGUCCCCAGUGGAGUUUGGGGACAGAAAGGUGCAGGCCAAGCCCAGCACUCCAUCCCCGGAACGGAGAACUGAGCUGAGCAGUGCGGGGCGGGUGGGCUGGGUAGGUGGGAGUCAGGGCUCUCAUUUGGGGCUAGCACAGGGACCCCUCGUACAGUCUCAUACUCUCCUCACAGGAUCCAAUGUACCUGCCAAAUUGAUAAGAAAUUCACCCCAACCCUUCCUUUCCCAGGACAGUCAGACUGGCUUUGGAAAUGAUUAAAAGUUGAUCUGGGCCUGGGCAGAAGGGCAUGGCUGUUAGCCAAAGCUGAACUGCAUUCAUCUUCAAAGACUUAAGAGAAGCAGCCCCUUCUACCCUCAGCCACCAGGACCAUUCUGUCACAUUCUGUGGGAGGCUCCUGCUAAUGGAAUGAGGCCACUCACAGAGCUUGGUCAAUUAGCUCUUGCUGAAAACUGCUAACGUGGAACUUUGUCUUCCCAUCGCCCGCAGAAGGUGCCAGGUGCUGCCUUUGUUGUUAAUGCUCCUCCCACCACCCCAUGGAGACUUGAUGGGCCCCAGAUGUGCUGGGUCAGGAUGUUACCACACAGCAGGUGGAUCCUGUCUCUCCAUGAGUGUAUUCGUCCAUUCUGCAGUGCUAUGAAGAAACACCUGAAACUGGGUAAUUUAUAAGAAAAGAGGUUUAAUUGGCUAACAGUUCCACAGGCUGUACAGGAAGCAUGGCUAGGGAGGCCUCAGGAAACUUUCAAUCAUGGCAGAAGGCAAAGGGGAAGCUGGCACGUCUUCCAUGGCCAGAGAGUGAGGAAGAGAGAGAGGAGGGGGAGGGGCUGCACACAUUUAAAUGACCAGAUCUUGUGAGAUCUCACUCGCUAUCACGAGAACAGCAAGGGGAAAGUCCUACCCCAUGAUCCAGUCACCUCCCACCAGGGAGCUCCUCCAAUGCUGAGGAUUACAAUUCAACAUGAGAUUUGGGUGGGGACACAAAUCUAAACUAUAUUGUCACUGGUGGAGGGUUGUGACUGCAGGUUGUCCAGGUUCUUGGCCUAUUGAACAAAGAAUUGGACAAAAUGCCCAGCAAGGCAAAGAAAGAAUGAAGCAACAAAAGAAUGAAAAUGGGGAUUUAUCGAAAACGAAAGUACACUCCAUGGUUUGGGAGUGGACCGAGCAGCAGCUCAAGGGCCCAGAUACGGAAUCUUCUUGGGUCCAAAUAUCCUCUAGAAGUUUCCCAUUGGCCACAUCAUGCUCACCUCAUGUAAAUGAAGUGGUGGCCUGCAAUCAGUCUGAUUGGUUACAGAAAGCAGCCAACCAGAGGCUGAAGUGAAGUUACAAAGGUUACACUCCUGUUCAACCAAUCAGAGACUAGGGUGAAGUUACAAAGUUAUACUUCUAUUGAAACGAAGAUGUGGCCAGCAAUCAGUCUGAUUGGUUGUGGACAGCAGCCAUUCAGAGGCUGGAGUGAAGUUACAAAGUGGCAAACAAAGACUGGACCUUCAAUCAAUCUGAUUGGUUGUGGACAGCCAAUUUCCCAUCUGCCUAGCAGAAAAGGUGAGGGGGUUGCAAAGGGAGUAGCCUGUGGUCCUUUUGUUACUUAGGCAUGGAAAGGUAGGGUUCUGCCUUCAAUUUAGUUCUAGGAAGUCGGUGUGAAACAGGCUUAGGUUCCCUGUGUCCAGACCCUAUUCUCCUGCCUCAAUAUUGGUAUCACCCAAUGAUCACCCAGUGACCAUAACCAAGGAGGAUUUAGCAAUGGGAUUUUGUUACUUGUAACAGGGAACCAGCAGGGACAGUUCCCAAGGCAGUGUGUCUCUGAGCUGGGCACUGGGUCAAAUUUUAGAAGCAUAGGCUAACGAGGUGUGAUGUUACUGGAAACUGCCAUGGGGGUGACACCAGAGCUCCAACUGCUUUUUUUUUUUUUAAUUUAUUAUUAUUAUACUUUAAGUUUUAGGGUACAUGUGCACAAUGUGCAGGUUAGUUACAUAUGUAUACAUGUGCCAUGCUGGUGCGCUGCACCCACUAACUCGUCAUCUAGCAUUAGGUAUAUCUCCCAGUGCUAUCCCUCUCCCCUCCCCCCACCCCACAACAGUCCCCAGAGUGUGAUGUUCCCCUUCCUGUGUCCAUGUGUUCUCAUUAUUCAAUUCCCACCUAUGAGUGAGAAUAUGCGGUGUUUGGUUUUUUGUUCUUGCAAUAGUUUACUGAGAAUGAUGAUUUCCAACUUCAUCCAUGUCCCUACAAAGGACGUGAACUCAUCAUUUUUUAUGGCUGCAUAGUAUUCCAUGGUGUAUAUGUGCCACAUUUUCUUAAUCCAGUCUAUCAUUGUUGGACAUUUGGGUUGGUUCCAAGUCUUUGCUGUUGUGAAUAAUGCUGCAAUAAACAUACGUGUGCAUGUGUC